UAUGGUGGUUGUCAAAGGCUUAUUUUUUGCGAUGGUUCUUCCCUCCCGACAAAAAAUAUUUUUUUUUAAUUUUUGUUUUGUGAUGGACAUCAUUGCGCCAUCGCUAAUAGCCACAAAACACCCAAAAGUCCCAUAUUCUCAAACGCUUGGUGGCUUUGAUAUUUUCGUUUUACCCUCUCUCUCUCUCUCUCUCUCCAUCUUUCAACUAUGAGUUCACCCCCACCGGCAUUAGUUUGUUGAUCCACCUUCACUAAGCUGACAUCGUCUCCUACUCUCUCUCAAUCUCGCCAUCGAUCUCGGUCAGUACAUGGAUAUCACCUCUCUAAGAGCUUUAGGAUUCUUCAGCGUUCAAUCAGUACCUCUCAAGUUUCAUUAUAGGAAGAGACGGAGAGGAUAAACAUCCCCUAGAAAUACUCUGUUUUUGCUCUGUUUCCAUUUUAUUACAGUAGGGCAGAACCUCAAAACAGUGGUCAGCCGGCCGGCCACUCCAUUUUAGGUAGGUAGUGUCAUUUUCAUGAUAGAACAGAGCA
Molecule: non-coding RNA, 530 nt
Organism: Camellia sinensis
Lineage: Eukaryota; Viridiplantae; Streptophyta; Magnoliopsida; Ericales; Theaceae
Source: RefSeq, a predicted model, not a curated record